CGAAAGCCUGACGGAGCAAUACCGCGUGAGGGAGGAAGGCUUUUGGGUUGUAAACCUCUUUUGUCAGGGAAGAAAAUUUGACGGUACCUGAAGAAAAAGCAUCGGCUAACUCCGUGCCAGCAGCCGCGGUAAUACGGAGGAUGCAAGCGUUAUCCGGAAUAAUUGGGCGUAAAGGGUCCGCAGGUGGCCAUUCAAGUCUGCUGUCAAAGACCGUGGCUCAACCACGGAAAGGCAGUGGAAACUGUUUAGCUAGAGUACGGUAGGGGUAGAGGGAAUUCCCAGUGUAGCGGUGAAAUGCGUAGAUAUUGGGAAGAACACCGGUGGCGAAAGCGCUCUACUGGGCCGAAACUGACACUGAGGGACGAAAGCUAGGGUAGCGAAAGGGAUUAGAUACCCCUGUAGUCUUAGCUGUAAACGAUGGAUACUAGGUGUAGCUUGUAUCGACCCGAGCUGUGCCGAAGCUAACGCGUUAAGUAUCCCGCCUGGGGAGUACGCACGCAAGCGUGAAACUCAAAGGAAUUGACGGGGGCCCGCACAAGCGGUGGAGUAUGUGGUUUAAUUCGAUGCAACGCGAAGAACCUUACCAGGGCUUGACAUGUGGCGAAUCUCUGUGAAAGCAGGGAGUGCCUUAGGGAGCGCCAACACAGGUGGUGCAUGGCUGUCGUCAGCUCGUGUCGUGAGAUGUUGGGUUAAGUCCCGCAACGAGCGCAACCCUCGUUUUUAGUUGCCAUUUUAAUGGCUCUCUAGAGAGACUGCCGGGGACAACUCGGAGGAAGGUGGGGAUGACGUCAAGUCAGCAUGCCCCUUACGCCCUGGGCUACACACGUACUACAAUGGUUGGGACAAAGGGCAGCAAACCCGCGAGGGCAAGCGAAUCUCAUCAAACCCAGCCUCAGUUCAGAUUGCAGGCUGCAACUCGCCUGCAUGAAGGAGGAAUCGCUAGUAAUCGCAGGUCAGCAUACUGCGGUGAAUUCGUUCCCGGGCCUUGUACACACCGCCCGUCACACCAUGGAAGCUGGCUACGCCCGAAGUCGUUACCCUAACCCUUAGGGGAGGGGGAUGCCGAAGGUAGAGCUAGUGACUGGGGUGAAGUCGUAACAAGGUAGCCGUACCGGAAGGUGUGGCUGGAUCACCUCCUUUA
This 1141-nucleotide ribosomal RNA is filed under the name uncultured Synechocystis sp. RNAcentral's name for it is "bacterial SSU rRNA". It matches the Rfam family "Bacterial small subunit ribosomal RNA", at positions 376 to 1533 of the family's 1533-position model. The record is from RNAcentral. Lineage: Bacteria; Bacillati; Cyanobacteriota; Cyanophyceae; Synechococcales; Merismopediaceae.